GGCGUAAUGAUGGCCAGACUGUCUCCACCCGAGACUCAGUGAAAUUGAAAUUGCUGUGAAGAUGCAGUGUACCCGCGGCAAGACGGAAAGACCCCGUGAACCUUUACUAUAGCUUGACAUUGAACAUUGAUUUUUAAUGUGUAGGAUAGGUGGGAAACUAUGAACCUUUUACGCUAGUUUAAGGGGAGUUGACCUUGAAAUACCACCCUUUAAUAGUUAAUUUUCUAAUCUAGUACCGUUAUCCGGUAUGGAAACAGUGUCUGGUGGGUAGUUUGACUGGGGCGGU
Molecule: ribosomal RNA, 286 nt
Filed under: Klebsiella ornithinolytica
Lineage: Bacteria; Pseudomonadati; Pseudomonadota; Gammaproteobacteria; Enterobacterales; Enterobacteriaceae
Description: Raoultella ornithinolytica partial 23S ribosomal RNA
Rfam family: Bacterial large subunit ribosomal RNA
Source: RNAcentral